RNAcentral lists this unclassified non-coding RNA (345 nucleotides) under soil metagenome. RNAcentral describes it as "partial contains 5.8S ribosomal RNA, internal transcribed spacer 2, and large subunit ribosomal RNA". The stretch from base 1 to 120 matches the Rfam family "5.8S ribosomal RNA", at positions 35 to 154 of the family's 154-position model. The record is from RNAcentral.
GAUGAAGAACGUAGUGAAAUGCGAUACGUAAUGUGAAUUGCAGAAUUCAGUGAAUCAUCGAGUCUUUGAACGCACAUUGCGCCCCCUGGUAUUCCGGGGGGCAUGCCUGUCCGAGCGUCAUUGCUGCCCUCAAGCACGGCUUGUGUGUUGGGCCUCCGUCCUCCUCCCGGGGGACGGGCCCGAAAGGCAGCGGCGGCACCGCGUCCGGUCCUCGAGCGUAUGGGGCUUCGUCACCCGCUCUUGUGGGCCCGGCCGGCGCUUGCCGACACAUCAAUCUUUUUUCCAGGUUGACCUCGGAUCAGGUAGGGAUACCCGCUGAACUUAAGCAUAUCAAUAAGCGGAGGA